Paramisgurnus dabryanus is the source of this 619-nucleotide non-coding RNA. The record is from RefSeq and is a predicted model, not a curated record. NCBI's taxonomy places the organism in Eukaryota, Metazoa, Chordata, Actinopteri, Cypriniformes, Cobitidae.
GAUGGUUGGAGUUUUGAUUAAUCUAAAGUACCAUGCAAGAGCACUCAUUUUCCCUCUUGAGACCAUGGUGUGACCUGCAAGGUCGAAUGGAGACUGUAAACGAGACAAUCUUGGAGUCACCUGCAUUCACUGGUCCAGUUGUUAGUCCAAUUACAGAUGGAGAUUAUAGAAGAGGAUGAUGUCUUUUCUCCAACAUCUUUCUAGACUGAUAAAAGAUCUAGACAGGCUUGAACAAAAGUUAACAGAGGGGCUUAUAUAGAGAAUGGUGAGCAGCUACACAUAAAAGAAGAACAUGGAGAAUCUGCCCAGAGGUGUUAACCAGCAAUGCUAUACAACUAAAUUGAUGCAGGCUGAAACAAUAAUGCAGCUGCUGCAGAUGAAGAAUCCGUCCGUCUAGCACUGAAGGAGACGCGGAAAAUCGGGAAAAGAUGUUCUUUGCCCGAGGAAGCAUUUGAUUAAUUUAAAGAUAUUGUGUUUCUUUGUAUGUUAUAGAAAAACGUUGCUUUUUUGCAUACACUCGUGUAAAUAUGCAUCUUAUGAAUGUUUUCCUUUGUCUAAUUUUAAUAAAUUUUACGCAAUCAACUGCCUGUUUUAUUGAAAAUACUGUUUUAAUUGUUGU